CCUGACUAGCAGAGAACUUACAGAGUUGGGAGGGAUACGUGGCCCCGUCCCACAGAAACAGCACUGGAAAGUAAAACCUAAAAAGAUUCUGUGAAGCCAAGAAGAGGGUGUUGUCUUUAAAGGCAUUCUUCAUUUUUCCUGAAAUGAUUAAUAAAUCUAUUUGCUAGCCUUCUUCGGCUGCCUCUCACUGAACAGACUUGCCAGUGUUUUCCAGCAGAGAGAUGACAGUCCCUGCGGUCACCCUUGUUGCUGCCUUCCUGGAUCACUGCAACCGCUGCCUGCUGGAGCCCAGUGGAGUGUCCAGAACAUCAAUGUGGAGAUGGAUUCGUCUCCCUGCUCCCAGCUUCCAUCCCCAUGGACCCUUUCCGUCCUCCCGGCCAGAUUAAUCUCAGAGGGCGAUGGGAGGAGACGGCUGGAGCGCAGGUUUGGAACCAGAGACCUCAGUGUCAACUUCUCAGUGCUCCUCCACUUCCUGGCUACAGAGUUGCUUAAAUUAGAUAAACUACAAAACGAGAGACAACCAGCCAUUUUGUGCCUCCUCAUGAAAAUAUACAUCACGACCUCUAAGUAUUGUCACCAAAAGAUGGACUUGGAAUGUGAUCGAGCCCUUGUAAACAGCCAGCACUACCAGUUUACAGGAAAACAAAGGGGAGGGAAACACAUUGCACUAAAGAAGGGCAUGCAUCAGCCAACUUCAGAAUGUGCAAACACUCAGGACGGAUCCUAGUUUCUUCAACAAAUAAUCUCCAAGGGAAAAAAGGAAACGGAGGAGGAGCUUUUCAAUUAAAAGGGACUUAAGAGACAUAACAACCACUUUCAAUGUAUACGCUUUAUUUGGAUUGUGAUUGAAACAAAAGAAAUUAUUUGUUUUUAAUAUAUGUGACAAUCAAGCGAAUGUGAACAAUGGCUGGAUAUUUGAUGACAUAGAUAUUAAGGAAUUAUUAUUAAUUCAGCAACAAUAAUAGUACUGUGGUUUUUUUUUUUCUAAGACACAGUCUCGGUCUGUCAACCAGGCUGGAGUGCAGUGGCGCAAUCUCGGCUCACUGCACCCUCCACCUUCUGGGUUCAAGCGACUCUCCUGCCUCAGGCUCCUGAGUAGCUGGGAUUACAGGUACAUGCCACCGCACCUGGCUAAUUUUUAUAUUUUUAGUAGAGAUGGGGUUUCACUAUGUUGGUCAGGCUAGUCUCGAACUCCUGACCUUGUGAUCUGCCCGCCUCGCCCUCCCAAACUGCUGGGAUCACAAGCGUGAGCCGCUGUGCCCGGCUUCCCACUGUAGUUAUUUUUUUUAAGAGUCUUUAUCUUUUAAAGACAUACAUUGAAAUAUUUGUGGUUGAAGAGAUGUGACAACUGGGAUUUCCUUCAAAGUAAUUACUGGAGGGAUGAUAAAGGGGAUAUCAAUGAAACAAGAUUGGCCAUAAGUUGACAAUUGCUGAAGCUAAGUGAUGGAUACAUGGAGAGUUUAUUAUACUAUUUUCUCUUUUUUUGUAUAUGUUUGUAAUUUUCCAAUUUUCUUAAUCUUUUUUAUUGUUUUCAUCCUGUACUUUCUGGGAUUCUGGAUUGUAUUUUUGUAUUUCAUGUAUCAUUUAACAUGCUCCUCUGUUCUCUGCUGGCCUGUAACCUAUUGGUAGUAUUUAGAGACUUGACGCCAUAGAAGCUCUAUUUUUGGCAAGAAUACUUUAUGGGUGAUUUUUGUACUUUUAUCAAGAGGCACAUAAUAGUCCAUAAUAAAAACAUUUCUUAAAGCUGAAAAAUGAAGAUGCUUCCUGGAGAGAUAAUUUUGAGAUGAAAUUAUUUAUGUAAGUAAAAGACCAAGCACAGAGCUUGGCACAUCAUGGGUGCUUUACAGGUGUCAGAUUUCUUCCCUCAACCUAUUAAUAAGCUCUCUAAUAAUGUCCAUGAUCUAUUGGAUCAAGAUUUAAGUACACAUAGAAUUCCAGAUCUCCCAUGAUCUGUUCCUGGUUUACCUUUCUGUCUAGUCUUAUUGCCUUCCUCUCUUUAAACACACACACACACACACACACACACACACACACACACACACACACACACACACUGCAUUCAUUAACCUCAUUCCUUAGCUUACACCAGU
Molecule: long non-coding RNA, 2090 nt
Filed under: Homo sapiens (human)
Lineage: Eukaryota; Metazoa; Chordata; Mammalia; Primates; Hominidae
Description: HSALNT0120418
Source: RNAcentral